RNAcentral lists this transfer RNA (40 nucleotides) under Pelagomonas calceolata. RNAcentral describes it as "partial tRNA". Lineage: Eukaryota; Pelagophyceae; Pelagomonadales; Pelagomonadaceae. The record is from RNAcentral.
CGGAGAGACCGAUGUGAGAUUCGAACUCACAACCUUCAGA